Ctenopharyngodon idella (grass carp) is the source of this 8471-nucleotide long non-coding RNA. RefSeq lists it as uncharacterized. NCBI's taxonomy places the organism in Eukaryota, Metazoa, Chordata, Actinopteri, Cypriniformes, Xenocyprididae. The record is from RefSeq and is a predicted model, not a curated record. The transcript has 2 exons.
UCUGAUUCUUGAAAUGUCUGGUUCCAUCUGAAAAGCAGGAAGCUGCAAAGAAAAGCAAGCUUGAUGAAUGCUUCCUGCAAUCCCAGUCACAGCCUUGUGAAUCGUCAGAGAAUCCCUUUCUUUCCCGAUCUCCAUGCUGAGGUGUCAAGAUCGUGGAAAAAGCUGUUCUCUGCACGUAUUUCUAGCCCCAAUGUGCAUAAUUAUUCUAACAUUGUGGGUCUGAAAGAGAACGGCUAUGGGGUUGAGGAGUCCUUCGCAUCUUAUCUCUCACCCAACGCUGUGUCAUCCCUAAAGGCUCCGACGCUGCACACCAAACUCUGCCGUACAACUUCAGCAUUGGUGGGCAAGUCAUAUGUGGCGGCUGGUCAUGCUGGGCAUGCCUGCACACGAUGGGGCUCUUGCAGGCAUACCAAGCCGGCAUUUUAAGAGAUCUAGAUGAGGCGGGGCAGAUUAAAGAGCUGCAUCAACCUGUCUCUCCGUACUACCAAGGAGACGGCCCAUGCCAUCGGCUGCUCCAUGGCAGCAUUGGUAGCUACGGAGAGACAUUUAUGGCUGAACCUGUCCGGCAUCGGUGAGAAGGACAGGUCCUUUCUCAUCGAUGUGCCGCUUUCGCCUUCUGGCCUCUUCGGCGAUGCAGUAAACACCGUAGUCGAGAGGUUUCAGGAGGCGAAGUGCCAAUCAGCGGCAUUUAAGCAGUUUCUCCCCCGCCGGCAUUCUAGAUCUCAUGGGGCUGCUACCAAGGAGCAGCCUCACACAUCAGCCGCAAGCUUUUUUUACCUGCAGAUGCAGAAGGAGAGUGUUGCUGCUCGUGCUUCCCCUCAAAGAGCUUGGGGGCCGAAGCGUCAGUCUUAGCCGAAGCCUUCUAAACCGAAGACAGACCUGAGGGCUGUCAUUCAGGCAAGGAAGGCUUCGGCGAAGAGGUCCUGACAUGACGCACAGUCCUCUGAGGGCGGUCCCCCCCGUGGUGGAGUGGCAACAUCUUGCUCCUCCGCGGAGCCCUCAGGAAAUUGACAUAUGCUUCCCGCUGCCUCGUGCGUUUCGGGAUGCAUCGGUUUCCAGCUAACAAAAAUCGGAAGGUCCGCCAGUUCUCCCUGUGGCCCUAUCGAGUUCGCUUCCUCUCAUGAGGCCUGUAGAAAAUAUUUCGGGUGUUUCCUCUGCCGGCCAGCUGCUUCAGGGCACCCAGAGUAUUUUACCCAUAAUUCCCGAGGUCAGUCCGGAGAGACUGAUUCCCUUAAUGGAGCAUGUUGAGGCUUGGAAAGCUCUUUAAAACAUAUCUCUGUGGAUCCUGUGUACGGUCGAGAUAAGUUACAGACUCCAAUUCAAGUACCGUCCGCCGAAAUUCAAUGGGGUAGUUCACACACUGGUCAGCCCCGAGCAGGCUCGGGUUAUGGAGUCAGAAGUUCAGUCUCUCUUAGCGAAGGAGGCCAUAGAAAUUAUUCCUCCCCACGAGAGAGAAACCGGGUUCUACAGCCAGUAUUUUAUAGUCCCCAAGAAGGAUGGAGGGCGGUGUUAUAGAUCUCGGUGUUGAAUUGGUCUCUAAGGAGAUUCAGAUUCAAAAUGUUGACCAUCCCGAUAAUUGUGAACCAAAUCAGGUCUGAGGACUGGUUUGUUACCAUAGAUGUAAAGGACGCAUACUUCCAUAUAUCCAUCCUUCCCCAACACAGGAAGUUCCUGAGGUUCGCCUUCAGGGGAAAGGCAUACCAGUAUCAAGUACUUCCAUUUGGCCUAGCUCUCUGUCCCCUCGCACCUUCAUGAAGUGUAUGGAUGCGGCCUUGGCCCCAUUGAGACUCCAGGGCAUCCGUAUACUCAAUUACAUCGACGACUGGCUCAUUUUAGCCUAGUCAGAGGAGAUGGCAAUUCGGCAUCAAGAUGUCGUUCUCCACCAUGUAAAGUGCUUGGGUUUAAGGCUAAAUGUCAAGAAAAGCAUACUGACACCCCAGCAGAAAACUGCAUUCCUGGGGGUAGUGUGGAAUUCGGUUACGAUGUGGGCACAGCUGUCUCCUGCUCGAAUACAAAGUAUUCUGACUACAGUCAGCAACAUCAGGCUAGGCCAGGCCAUCACUGUCAAACACUUCCAGAGAGUGCUGGGGCUUCUGGCAGCAGCGUCCAACAUAAUUCAUUUUGGCCUGCUGUAUAUGAGACCCCUGCAGUGGUGGCGCAGGACCAGGGGGUUCUCCCUGAGGGGAAACCCGUUUCGCAUGAUCAAAAUAACGCGCAGAUGCCUUUCGUUCUUUGAUUAUGUGGAAGAAACCAUGGUUCCUGUCCCAAGGUCCUGUCUUGGGAGCGCUCUGGCAGCGUCUCAUCGUGACUACGGAUGCGUCCCUCACAGGCUGGGGAGCAGUCAUGGAAGGCCGCUUUACCAGGGGUCUGUGGAGAGGGCAUCAUCUCUCGUGGCACAUGAAUUGCCUGGAGAUGAUGGCUGUGUUCUUGGCCCUAAGACACUUCCUCCCAGAUCUCAGGGGCCAUUCGGAUAGACAAUACAUCGGUGGAUUCAUACAUAAAUCGGCAAGGGGGUUUGAGAUCGCACACUCUGUGCAGACUGGUGCAUCAAAUCCUCUUGUGGCCCCAGAGGAAACUGCUCUCUCUGAGGGCUAUGUACCAACCUGUGGACCAGAAUUUGGGAGCGGACAUUUUGUCGAGGCAGGGGCUGAGGCCUGGGGAAUGGAGGCUCCAUCCCGAGAUGGUGGAGUUAAUUUGGGAGAGAUUCAGCCAGAGGGAGGUGGAUCUGUUCGCCUUUCACGAGAACACCCACUGCCCGUUUUGGUUCUCCCCUCACGCAUACAGCUCCCUUGGGACUGGAUGCUAUGUUUCAGACAUGGCCGGGGGCUCUGCUCCCGGGAGUUUUGGAGAAGGUCCACCGGCACAGGGUCAGCCUACUUCUAGUAGCUCCGUACUGGCCGGCCCAAGUGUGGUUUUCAGACAUUAUAGCUCUCCUAGCAGGCACUCCUUAGCAAAUUCCGAUCAGACCGGACCUGCUGUCUCAAGCCGGGGGCCUAAUUCAUCACCCCUGGCCAGAGCUAUGGAAACUAUGGGUCUGGCCCCUGAUGGGGACCAGCUUUUAAGCACUGGUCUCUCAACUGAGGUUGUUGAGACCAUCCUAAACUCUAGAGCUCCCUCCACAAGGAAACUCUAUGCCCUAAAGUGGAACGUGUUCAGUUUAUGGUGCAGGGAACAUCAGUUGGACCCAGUUAACUGCCCAGUGACUUCAGUGCUGGAUUUCCUCCAAUUCUGUUUCUCUGAUGGUCUUUUCCCAUCCACAUUAAAGGUCUAUGUGGCGGCUAUAGCAGCCUUCCACCACCUUUAAAUGAGGGCCCUUUGGGGAAACACCAGUUUAUUACUUGUUUCCUUUGUGGUGCUCGGAGGAUGAGGCCUGUAGUGCAGACCAGAGUUCCCAUGUGGGACCUGGCAGUGGUUCUUGAAGGGUUAUCCCUGGCACCGUUCGAACCUAUUGACGAGGUGGCAGACAAAUUUCUUUUAAAGUGGCCUUCCUACUUGUUAUUACGUCCCUCAAAAGAGUUGGGAGCCUGCAGGUACUCUCAGUGGCUCCCUCUUGCCUGGAGUUCGCCCCUGGUAGGGUCAAGGCCAUUCUCCACCCUAGACCUGGCUACGUGCCUAAGGUGCCUUCGAAUGUGGCACGGUCUGUUAUUCUGCAGGCCUUUCAUCCUCCACCUCAUGUGUCAGCUGAACAAGAGAGGCUACAUUUAUUAUGCCCUGUUAGAGCCUUGGGGGCCUAUGUACAUAGGUCCUCUGCCUGGAGGAAGUCAGACCAGCUACUUGUGUGCUUUGGGUCACUUAAGAAGGGUUCCCCUGCCUCUAAGCAGACUAUUAGCAGGAGGAUUGUUGAGGCUAUCUCUUCAGCGUAUGAGGCCCGCAAUUUGCCUUCACCUCUCCUGAUUAAAGCCCACUCGACUAGAGGAGUGGCUUCCUCUAAAGCCCUGCUAUCAGGGGUCUCCCUUCAAGAGGUCUGUGAUGCUGCGGGCUGGGCCUCCCCUCACACCUUUAUAAAAUAUUAUAGCUUGGAUCUGCCCUCUAUGCCGGGCUCUCAAGUUCUCAUGUCCUGAGUUGUGCCUGACAAGCUUCACACCAGGGCAACCUCUUCAGUGUGGCGCAGUGGGUAUUUUGUUCCCCAAAGUGUAGUUCCAACACAGCGCGAGUUCCCUCAAAAGGGAACGUCUCGGGGAACAAGGGUUACAGACGUAACCCAAGACAUUUUUCUCACUCGCUUUGGCACAUUUUCGAAACAGUCUUAAACUGUAAGUGUAAUUGUCACAACUGUUUGCUGGAACAUCACGUCUGCAAAAGGUAGUUACCCAAAACAUUUACAGUCAGAAAAUAUUCAGACACUAGAUAUAAUUUUGUACAUUUUUUUACUAGUGGGUGCAGGACACUAUUUUGCUAUCCUCACUUACAUAAAUGAACUAUAAAGUAAACUUGACAUAUUAUACCCAAAAAUUCUUCAUACAGUGGACUACCAGUAAAAUUUAUAAAAAUUUGGAACCAAAAAUUAUUCAGACACUUUGACCUGACCAUGUGACCUGACCAUAUCUGACAUAAUUAAGAUUGUUUUUUUCUGACACAGUUUAACUGAGAUCUUGUCAUAUUUUAUUACCAUUUUUUUAAACUAUAGUGAAUAAACUGUAAUAAUGAAUGAAAUGUUUAAGGUUUCUGAAUAAAUUUUGGUUUGAUUGUAAUUCAUGCUUCAAAACCUAGUUAUUGUGUCAGUAAGUUUGCCAGUGGCACCAAAAAAGUGUUUUUGUCAUCGUGUGAGCCAUACUAGUCAAAAUGUUUAGAUGUUUUUUCACCAUGGAAAUAGUUGUUAAAUACAAAUUUCAUGUAAUUUCUACUUUUUAGUUGACACUGUUUUCUACAUUAUACAAGAAUGUCAGUUUUGUCUGGCUGAAUGCUCUUGUGUCUCACACUAAGCUGUUUAGAAACAGAUUUCAGCAGUAAGUAAAAAUUUGUUAGCACUUUUACAGUCCUGUUCCCCAUGUACAUACUAUGUACUUAUUACAGAAAUUAUAAUAACUAGGUACUAACCCUGAACCUACACCUAAACCUAAACUUAACCCUUGUAGUUACCUUAUAUUACUCAGUAUUUUAAUAGGUAAGUACAUUGUAAGUUCAUGUAAGUACACGUACUGUAAAAUAAAGUGCAACCAAAAAUUUAAUUGGAAAAGUCAAUAUUGUAAUAUUCAAAAAGAAAGUGGACAUUUGGUCACUUUAUAUUAGGUGUCUAUAACUACAGUGUACUUAUUAUGUUCAUGUUGUAUCACAAAACACUAGUGCUGCUAUUGAGAUGGGAUGCGGGUAAGAUUAGGGGCAGGUUUGGUGGUAUGGGUAGGUUUUAUAGUAGUGUAGUGUAGUGUAAUUAUAGUUUUAACUGGUUGUAAUUACAAGCAGAUUUUUGUAAACAAUGUAAACACAUGAAUGUACACAAUAAGUGUGUUUUAUCAAAUUAUUCAUUUAAAUGUAAGUACAUAGUUAAAGAUACCUAAAAUAAAAUGGGACCGGACAUUUUUAUUUAUACAGCACAUAUUUUUAGAAAUGUGUUACAUGCAAAAUUCACAGUUGCUUGUUCAUUUUUACAUAUUAUGUCUUCUGCUAACACCACACAUUCUUACAAAUCUUGCUCUUCCACAAAAAGCAACUGUGAAUUUUCAGUUUACAUCUAACACAUUUCUACAAAAAUAAACUGCUGUUGCUGUUCAGGGAUUUAGACGUUCCUCCAUGUUCAAAAAUGGUAGUGAUUGUGCUGGGCAAACUCCAUAUCGCCUACUGUAUGCUUCCAAACUUGAUUGGAUGAUUGGUAAGAUUGUUUUUCCUAUUUCAUUACAAUGGCAAGCCAUUUGCCAAUUUAGCAGACAUUACAAACAUUCCAUGUCAGAUAUUUAUAGAAUAAACGUGUAUGUCUGACAGAUUUUGAUAACUGAAUGGAUCAUUUUGCAUGUGAAGGUUCACACAAUGAAAGAAUGUUUAGAAGUUAUGAAAAGUUUGACAAUUUCACUGAAAAUCAACUCAUCAGUUUUGAUCAACAAGCCAUGUGCAUUUAGAUAUUAUGCAAAUUGUAGACAAAUGUACUUACUCUUUUGACCAGAUGUGCUAAAACACAUGCAAUUUGCUUAAAUCAAUAAGAAAUUCAAAUCUGAUGUGCAACAAGAAACUAAUUGUUCAGAGAUCUGAACUUAUUGUUAUGAGAAAAAGUCUCAUUCGAGAAUUGAGCCAAAGCGAUUGAGAAAAACUGUAAUGCAUAGUUAUAUCAUCUUGUAUUAUGUUAAGAAAAUGAUAAUAACAACCCAAAUUAGGACAAAAAGACAUUUUUUUUUCUGUCUAAAGAAAAAACUACUAUAUAAUUAAUACACAUCAUUACGAUAAAGGUUGCAUCAAAAUGUAUGUACAUUUGUUUCCAAAUUUGCAUAGAAGGUGUGUGUGAGUUAUACAAAUACUGCAACAAAGUCAAGACAAACUUAUAUUAUGUAGUAACAAGUUUAGUAAGAGUGAUAUUCAGUCAUAAUGCAGUAAUUGUUCACAUUAAAAUAAUAGAAAUUUAGGAAUUGAAACAGCUGCAGUAUGUUUGUUUUACCACUAGACAGCACUGCUACCACACAGAAAGCCUAAAAUUGAUUCAUGACAGUUUCACUCACAUUAUGCAGGCCACAGUUGUUCAAAAGUAAUCUAAUCAGAUUUCGGCUUGGAUUGGAUCAAAUCCUAAAAAUGGGUUGCUCAAAAGAAAGAAAGAAAGAAAAAAAAAAAAAUUCGGAAAUGAGAUUAGAUCACAAAAUCCAAUCUUGGUUCUGAUCUGGAUCAAAUUAUCAUUUUGUGUUGUUCAAAACUCUUUAGUAAGAUUGGGAUAGCCUACCUUUGAUUAAAAAAAAAAAAAAGGAAGGGUGGAUUUCAGGAACAAAAAUUAAAUUAAAUUGGUCAAAAACAACAUUUGUAUUAUGUAAUAUACACACAUUUAUUUAUUUAUUUAUUUGGCUCUUAAUUAGUAAUUAGUUAUUAAAGUAAUAAUUAGGCUACCUAUUAAGCCUUUUGGUAGCCUACAGUAAAGUAAAAAAAGAGAAUUUAGUGCCAUAAAAUAAUGAUAUAGCACUCCACCCCCUACCUAAUCUUCCGUAGUGGGGUGAAAUAGCAAACAGGGGAAAAAGUCCCAGUUAUCUCAAGGAAAGCCACUCAGCGAAUCAAAUGCAAGAAUGUUCUUCUUGCAGAAGACCUUCAAAAAUAGGCAACCCAAUAAUGUCUUAAUUUAAGAGAGGAAACAGAACUUUGUACCACUUGCACUGUAUAUCAGAUGUCAUCCCACUUCUGAGAGUACAGAAAGGUGUUUAUGUCAAUAAGGUUCUAAUCAUGCUGCAGCAGUACUGAUGGUUGAAUUAAUAAUUCAGAUUCAUAAAGCCUUUGAUCUUUGGCUUUAUGUAUGAGCUGCAACAUUUGCUCCAUAAUCAUCUCUGGAACAAUCAGAAGUGAGAAUGCUAAUAAGAUAUUGAAAGUCUUGAAGAAUAAACCAUGUCUAUAAAUCCUUUUGACAUUUGAAACAUGAAUUUCAACAAAAUGUUCAAACAAAUUUUUUUUUUUUUUUUAAAGAAAAUUUGGAACGUUUUGUAAAAUCAAGAUUUCUUUUUUAAUUGACAUUCUUGGUCUUAUCGUGAACAAUUCAAUGAUGCAUGUUGCUCCAAAGGGAUGUUUGUAAGCUUUCAUCGCUAAUACAAUCAAAUCCCAGCAAAUAAAAUCGGGUCCCGGUCUACAGUUUUUUACGGAAGCCCUAAACGGCCAUGGAUUAUUAUUUUUUUCUAUCUUGUUUUGUCGUGAUCACGACUUAUUUUCUCGUGAUCUCGAGAUAACAAAAGUUGUCUUGUCGUGAUCAUGACUUAAUUUUCUCGUGAUCUCGAGAUAACAAAAGUUGUUUUCUCAUGAUCACGACUUAAUCUCUGCUCUAAAUUACAUAAAUGUGCCAACAGGUGUCAGAUUACCAAAUUUAACUGAUGAUGUGCGGUAAAUAUCCACUUUACUGUAUUAGUUCAUAUUGGCCCAGAUUGUACGAGUGUCGGACAGAGAGAGUCUUUGUGAUCGCUUUAUUUUGUGCAGUAUUGUGUGCGUUAAGUAAUUCACUUAACUGUAAAAUGCUUGAAUAUGAUUAUUUUGCUUGAAAGUGUAUCUGUUAUCGUUCUGACUAGUGCAUGACUCACUACAGUUUCACGACCGCAAUAGUUCGGUGUGAUUCUAAACUUAUUGGUUAUUAAAACUAAUUUUGAUGUCACUGUAUAGUAUUCUGUUUGCACCUUAUUGUGUAUCUUUAAGACGCCAUUUUAAUCAUCGCAGUUUCAAUGUUCGUUUCACUCACUCAAUGUAUAUUGAUAAGAAAUAUGAUUUAUAGCCUAUGUCAUUUAAUUCAGUGAUAGUGUGUAACCUAUUGUAUUUUCUACAUUUCUUUGUUGGAAACAACACACAUACAUAAACACUCUUCUCAAACAGCA